RNAcentral lists this ribosomal RNA (486 nucleotides) under Triticum aestivum (bread wheat). Its description in RNAcentral is "partial small subunit ribosomal RNA". Lineage: Eukaryota; Viridiplantae; Streptophyta; Magnoliopsida; Poales; Poaceae. The record is from RNAcentral.
AUGGUUUGGAAGGCUUGGGCACCGCCCAAGGUUAAGUUCUUCGCGUGGUUGGCAAUUCAAAAUCGUAUUUGGACCAUCGACAGAUUGUCCAAGCGGGGAUGGACAAACUGUGGGCUUUGCCCUCUUUGUAAGCAAGUGCAAGAGUGCGGCACUCACCUCUUUUUCAAGUGUCAUUACACUUCGAGAGUAUGGAGAUUGGUCACUGAGAAGCUACGUCUCGGGGACUUGAGUAUCACCUCUUGGCAUUUGGAGGGCUCCAUUUAGGAUUGGUGGGCAAGUCAAACUCGUGCCGGCACCACAACGAGAAAGGCCAUGGCUUUGCUUACCAUGCUUGUGUCAUGGACCUUGUGGAAUGAGAGGAACUCAAUGGUUAUCUGCAAUAAGAGCACGACGUCAACAAUUUUUCUUAGCAUCAUCAUGACCAAGGCAAAUCUCUGGAUCACUGCCGGAGCAAAGAAGUUAGGGUCAAUUGUCUCACGAGAAUAA